This 64-nucleotide transfer RNA is filed under the name Nepiomorpha sp. NespEL. RNAcentral's name for it is "tRNA-Tyr". The record is from RNAcentral. Lineage: Eukaryota; Metazoa; Arthropoda; Insecta; Psocodea; Elipsocidae.
AAUGGGAUGACUGAUAAUAGGUGAUAAAUUGUAAAUUUAUUAAUGAUUGAAAAAUCUCCCAUUA